RNAcentral lists this long non-coding RNA (220 nucleotides) under Mytilus galloprovincialis (Mediterranean mussel). Lineage: Eukaryota; Metazoa; Mollusca; Bivalvia; Mytilida; Mytilidae. The record is from RNAcentral.
UCUCAUGUCUAUCGAAAUAGAAUGGGAUAAAAAGAGAUAAAAACAACAAUACUUUCUAAUAUUUUUUUAUAAAUCACUUCUUGACCAAUUUCAAUGAGGUUUUGAAGUAAGAUUUUUGAUUUUGGGUCCGGUUUUAAAUUGGCCCACAGGGUCCAAAAUAAAAUUUGAGGUUCUUUGGUAGGCUGAAUCCAUACAUGAUUGUGUUUAUUAUUAUUUUUUU